Molecule: ribosomal RNA, 520 nt
Filed under: uncultured Glomus
Lineage: Eukaryota; Fungi; Glomeromycota; Glomeromycetes; Glomerales; Glomeraceae
Description: SSU rRNA
Rfam family: Eukaryotic small subunit ribosomal RNA
Source: RNAcentral
CGCAGCCGCGGUAAUUCCAGCUCCAAUAGCGUAUAUUAAAGUUGUUGCAGUUAAAAAGCUCGUAGUUGAAUUUCGGGAUCAAUAUAUCGGUCGUGCCAUUGGUACGUACUGGUAUCAUUGGUUUCUCCUUUCUGUCGAACCAUGAUGUCAUUAAUUUGGUGUUAUGGGAAGUUAGGACUGUUACUUUGAAAAAAUUAGAGUGUUUAAAGCAGGCUCACGCUUGAAUACAUUAGCAUGGAAUAAUGAAAUAGGACGUUUGAUUCUAUUUUGUUGGUUUCUAGGAUCGACGUAAUGAUUAAUAGGGAUAGUUGGGGGCAUUAGUAUUCAAUUGUCAGAGGUGAAAUUCUUGGAUUUAUUGAAGACUAACUUCUGCGAAAGCAUUUGUCCAAGGAUGUUUUCAUUAAUCAAGAACGAAAGUUAGGGGAUCGAAGACGAUCAGAUACCGUCGUAGUCUUAACCAUAAACUAUGCCGACUAGGGAUCGGACGGAUGUUAAUUUUUUAAUGUACUCGUUCGGCGCC